RNAcentral lists this ribosomal RNA (253 nucleotides) under uncultured bacterium. RNAcentral's name for it is "partial 16S ribosomal RNA". It matches the Rfam family "Bacterial small subunit ribosomal RNA", at positions 524 to 776 of the family's 1533-position model. The record is from RNAcentral.
UACAGAGGGUGCGAGCGUUAAUCGGAAUUACUGGGCGUAAAGCGCGCGUAGGCGGCUUUGCAAGUCGGGUGUGAAAUCCCCAGGCUUAACCUGGGAACUGCAUUCGAGACUGCAUUGCUAGAGUACGGGAGAGGGAAGUGGAAUUUCCGGUGUAGCGGUGAAAUGCGUAGAGAUCGGAAGGAACACCAGUGGCGAAGGCGGCUGUCUGGACAGAUACUGACGCUGAGGUACGAAAGCGUGGGGAGCAAACAGG